CCGGCAAGUCCUGUCAAG
This 18-nucleotide unclassified non-coding RNA is filed under the name Chlamydomonas reinhardtii. RNAcentral describes it as "small RNA Cre_1111". Lineage: Eukaryota; Viridiplantae; Chlorophyta; Chlorophyceae; Chlamydomonadales; Chlamydomonadaceae. The record is from RNAcentral.